RNAcentral lists this ribosomal RNA (687 nucleotides) under uncultured Actinomycetes bacterium. RNAcentral describes it as "bacterial SSU rRNA". It matches the Rfam family "Bacterial small subunit ribosomal RNA", at positions 154 to 853 of the family's 1533-position model. The record is from RNAcentral. Lineage: Bacteria; Bacillati; Actinomycetota; Actinomycetes.
AAACCGGUGCUAAUACCGAAUAUUGAAACAUAAGUGGCAUCACUGAGUUUUGAAAGAAUUUCGGUGGAGGAUGACUUCGCGGCCUAUCAGCUAGUUGGUGAGGUAAUGGCUCACCAAGGCAACGACGGGUAGCCGGCCUGAGAGGGCGACCGGCCACACUGGGACUGAGACACGGCCCAGACUCCUACGGGAGGCAGCAGUGGGGAAUAUUGGGCAAUGGAGGAAACUCUGACCCAGCGACGCCGCGUGCGGGAUGAAGGCCUUCGGGUUGUAAACCGCUUUCAGUAGGGAAGAAGCGAAAGUGACGGUACCUACAAAAGAAGCACCGGCUAACUAUGUGCCAGCAGCCGCGGUAAUACAUAGGGUGCAAGCGUUGUCCGGAAUUAUUGGGCGUAAAGAGCUCGUAGGUCGUUUGUUACGUCGGAUGUGAAAACCUGAGGCUCAACCUCAGGCCUGCAUUCGAUACGGGCAAACUAGAGUUUGGUAGGGGAGACUGGAAUUCCUGGUGUAGCGGUGGAAUGCGCAGAUAUCAGGAGGAACACCAAUGGCGAAGGCAGGUCUCUGGGCCAAUACUGACACUGAGGAGCGAAAGUCUGGGGAGCGAACAGGAUUAGAUACCCUGGUAGUCCAGACCGUAAACGGUGGGCACUAGUUGUGGGAACCUUCCACGGUUUCUGCGACGCAGCU